GCGCACGCUGGCGGCAGGCUUAACACAUGCAAGUCGAGCGGGCCCUUCGGGGUCAGCGGCAGACGGGUGAGUAACACGUGGGAACGUACCCUUUGGUUCGGAAUAACGCUGGGAAACUAGCGCUAAUACCGGAUACGCCCUUUUGGGGAAAGGCUUGCUGCCGAAGGAUCGGCCCGCGUCUGAUUAGCUAGUUGGUGGGGUAAUGGCCUACCAAGGCGACGAUCAGUAGCUGGUCUGAGAGGAUGAUCAGCCACACUGGGACUGAGACACGGCCCAGACUCCUACGGGAGGCAGCAGUGGGGAAUAUUGGACAAUGGGCGCAAGCCUGAUCCAGCCAUGCCGCGUGAGUGAUGAAGGCCUUAGGGUUGUAAAGCUCUUUUGUCCGGGACGAUAAUGACGGUACCGGAAGAAUAAGCCCCGGCUAACUUCGUG
Molecule: ribosomal RNA, 432 nt
Filed under: uncultured bacterium
Lineage: Bacteria
Description: partial 16S ribosomal RNA
Rfam family: Bacterial small subunit ribosomal RNA
Source: RNAcentral